Salmo salar (Atlantic salmon) is the source of this 72-nucleotide non-coding RNA. The record is from Rfam. NCBI's taxonomy places the organism in Eukaryota, Metazoa, Chordata, Actinopteri, Salmoniformes, Salmonidae.
UCCCCUGUAGCUCAAUUGGUAGAGCAUGGUGCUUGCCACACCAGGGUUGUGGGUUCGAUUCCCACGGGGGAC